GAAAUGCGAUACGUAGUGUGAAUUGCAGAAAUACGUGAACCAUCGAAUCUUUGAACGCAUAUUGCGCUCGAGGCUUCGGCCAAGAGCAUGUCUGCCUCAGCGUCGCUUUACCCCCUCACCCAAUCUCUCUCUGAGUGAUUGUGCGUGGACCUGGCUUUCGCAAUGCCUUUAGUGGCGUUGCGUUUGCUGAAGCGCAGAGGUUGAUGCAUGGACCCGCUUACGGGCCUCAGCUGGGUAGGCAAUUCGUUGCUAAUGCUUUAGCUGUUGGCUUGGGACCGUGCUGUCAGUCCGAACCAGGAAAUUUACUUUCAAUUUCGACCUGAGCUCAGGCAAGAACACCCGCUGAACUUAA
Molecule: unclassified non-coding RNA, 352 nt
Filed under: uncultured fungus
Lineage: Eukaryota; Fungi
Description: sequence contains ITS1
Rfam family: 5.8S ribosomal RNA (bases 1-105)
Source: RNAcentral